GACGAACGCUGGCGGCGUGCUUAACACAUGCAAGUCGAACGGAAAGGCCCUGCUUUUGUGGGGUGCUCGAGUGGCGAACGGGUGAGUAACACGUGAGUAACCUGCCCUUGACUUUGGGAUAACUUCAGGAAACUGGGGCUAAUACCGGAUAGGAGCUCCUGCUGCAUGGUGGGGGUUGGAAAGUUUCGGCGGUUGGGGAUGGACUCGCGGCUUAUCAGCUUGUUUGUGGGGUAGUGGCUUACCAAGGCUUUGACGGGUAGCCGGCCUGAGAGGGUGACCGGCGACAUUGGGACUGAGAUACGGCGCAGACUGCUACGGGAGGCAGCAGUGGGGAAUAGUGCACAAUGGGCGGAAGCCUGAUGCAGCAACGCCGCGUGCGGGAUGACGGCCUUCGGGUUGUAAACCGAUUUCGCCUGUGACGAAGCGUGAGUGACGGUAAUGGGUAAAGAAGCACCGGCUAACUACGUG
Molecule: ribosomal RNA, 468 nt
Filed under: uncultured bacterium
Lineage: Bacteria
Description: partial 16S ribosomal RNA
Rfam family: Bacterial small subunit ribosomal RNA
Source: RNAcentral